Molecule: long non-coding RNA, 396 nt
Organism: Micropterus salmoides (largemouth bass)
Lineage: Eukaryota; Metazoa; Chordata; Actinopteri; Centrarchiformes; Centrarchidae
Exons: 3
Source: RefSeq, a predicted model, not a curated record
GUGAAUGAUGAGGCCAUUAGUUGUGUUUAUCAUGAUAGAAAUAUAUUUUUAUGAAACAUCCCUAACGCUGUGUGUAUGAUGUUGUUGCAGGAGACCAGAGAGCAGAGGAUCACCCAGUACCAUGAAGAACCUGAUACUCCUUGUGUCCUGGGUCUGAGGGAGGGAUCCCUGCUGCUGGUGGAGGGCGACAAAGCCACACUACUGGGAACCACCAAGGCCAGACUCUUCACCCGGGGGAAGCCCACAGUGGAGUACGACCCAGGUAGUGACCUCAGCUUCCUGCUCACACGUUGACCAAUCAGAGGGAAACAGGAAACAAGUGCCAGUGUCUCACCCUUUCACAAUAUUGUUGUGGAUGAAUGUUGUGGUUGAAACACAAUAAAUAUUAAAAGUCCA